RNAcentral lists this ribosomal RNA (253 nucleotides) under uncultured bacterium. RNAcentral describes it as "partial 16S ribosomal RNA". It matches the Rfam family "Bacterial small subunit ribosomal RNA", at positions 524 to 776 of the family's 1533-position model. The record is from RNAcentral.
UACGGAGGUGGCAAGCGUUGCUCGGAAUCACUGGGCGUAAAGAGCGUGUAGGCGGCUAUUUAAGUCCUGCGUGAAAUCCUGCGGCUCAACCGCAGACGGUCGUGGGAAACUGGAUGGCUAGAGUGCGGGAGAGGAGAGUGGAAUUCCCGGUGUAGCGGUGAAAUGCGCAGAUAUCGGGAAGAACACCCGUGGCGAAGGCGGCUCUCUGGAACGCAACUGACGCUGAGACGCGAAAGCGUGGGGAGCAAACAGG